CUCAGAGUUCUUCUCAAGCCCAUGCUCCAUUUACAACACUGAGCCCAAGGUCAAGGAAGACACAGAGCUGGGGUUCUAGCUCAGGAUUGUGAGCCUCCAAAUCCCAAACUCUAUGCGUAGGCAUCUACUCCCUGAAAAGGAGGGGAAGGAGAAGAAAGUGGAGGAGGUAGUCAGCAUGAUCGUAUGGGUUAAACAACAACUUAACACCAGAGAGAGACUCUCCGGAGAGGCACUUGGGCCUUAGGUUCCCUUCUGACAACAGCAAGGGCUUCUAAUGUGAAUGAGGCUCAGGGGAAUCUGCUAGCUAUCUCUGGCUUCCCUGGCACCAUGCAAAGACAUGCUCCUGUAGAAGAGAAUAUUGAAAGCCAUCCAGACCCCAGCUGUAGCAGCACUGGAAGCCAGAAUGGUUUUCUCAUGGAGAAUUCCUGAAGGACCUCCUAUUGAGCUCACCUGAGUGACAUGGAAGGAUGACAUGUGGGACAAUCGGAGUGAACCUGGGGUGGUGAGAACACUGCAGGCAUCCAGUGGAUUCCUUUAAAGCAGGUUGCUCAACUGUGGUCCUGUUGACGUUUCGGCUGGGUGAUUCUCCACUGUGGGGCCUAACCUGGAUGUUGUAGGAUGGUUGGGGGCAUCUCUGGCCCCCAACCACCACGUGCCAGGAACAUCCAGUGCUCAUCCCCAAUGUCUCCAGACACUGCCCAGGGUCCGAGUGCCAUCACUUUCAACUGAGAAUCACUGCUUAGAGGGAAGCAAUUUGUGGAUGAGAAGCAUGCAGGCUGUGACUCACAAUUUCAAACCAAUGAAGUUCAACCUCAGACUGUUGCAAAAAAAAGUACUCCGCACUCACCAACAGUCAACAUAAUUUCAUUCAGCCAAAUCUUGUGUAUUUGCUAGUAAACUGUGCACCGAGUGAAUUAUUUGCAGCAUUAUUUAAGACCCUGAAUUAACAUUAUCUAACAUGUUUGGAAGCAGGGCAGCCCUCAAAUCUCUGGUUAAUGUGAUUUCAGGAA
Molecule: long non-coding RNA, 1010 nt
Filed under: Homo sapiens (human)
Lineage: Eukaryota; Metazoa; Chordata; Mammalia; Primates; Hominidae
Description: HSALNT0331614
Source: RNAcentral